GAUGAACGCUGGCGGCGUGCCUAAUACAUGCAAGUCGAACGGUAAGGCCCUUUCGGGGGUACACGAGUGGCGAACGGGUGAGUAACACGUGAGUAACCUGCCCUCAUCUCUGGGAUAACAGUCGGAAACGGUUGCUAAUACUGGAUAUGAGCUUGCAAGGCAUCUUGUGGGUUGGAAAGAUUUUUUUGGUUGGGGAUGGACUCGCGGCCUAUCAGCUUGUUGGUGAGGUAGUGGCUCACCAAGGCUUCGACGGGUAGCCGGCCUGAGAGGGCGACCGGCCACAUUGGGCGUGAGAGACGGCCAACACGCGUAGGGGGGGCAGCAGGGGGGAAUUUGGAAAAAGGGAGGGAAGGCAGAGGCAGAAACGCGCGGGGGGGGAGGACGGCCUUGGGUUUGAAAACGGCUUUAAAUUGUGAAGAAGCUUUUGGGGAGGGUAGAAGAAGAAGAAGCACCGGCAAACAACGUG
Molecule: ribosomal RNA, 466 nt
Filed under: uncultured bacterium
Lineage: Bacteria
Description: partial 16S ribosomal RNA
Rfam family: Bacterial small subunit ribosomal RNA
Source: RNAcentral